Molecule: ribosomal RNA, 216 nt
Filed under: uncultured Peptostreptococcus sp.
Lineage: Bacteria; Bacillati; Bacillota; Clostridia; Peptostreptococcales; Peptostreptococcaceae
Description: partial 16S ribosomal RNA
Rfam family: Bacterial small subunit ribosomal RNA
Source: RNAcentral
AGUAACUAAUAUGUAAAAGUUUACUAAUACAUGAUAAUAUAUAUUUACGGCAUCGUAGAUAUAUCAAAGUGUUAGCGGUAUAGGAUGGACCCGCGUCUGAUUAGCUAGUUGGUGAGAUAACUGCCCACCAAGGCGACGAUCAGUAGCCGACCUGAGAGGGUGAUCGGCCACAUUGGAACUGAGACACGGUCCAAACUCCUACGGGAGGCAGCAGCC